GUCAGAUUUUUUUUUAAAACCAGACUUCUUCUCUCUCUCCUCACUCUCUCUCUCUCCCCCGACUGUGCUCCAGCCGACCACCACCACGCACGCCGGACAGGCCAAGAAUGAACCGGCGCCACCUCCCCCAGCCGUCCGACGCCUUCCCCGACCGUCAGCAGCACGGGUCUCGCCGGAAAACCAUGGUUUUCGGCCAGAUUUUCUCCGAAUUUCCAAACCCUCGUUCUCCUUCCUCCGGCCACCAAAUCGGACGAAUUAGGCACCUGGGCACCAGUUGACCCGCAGGAGGGACCUUCAAAAGGUCCAGCUAGCUCAGAGCACCUGUGAGUGGACUGUUUGUUUUAUAAAUGUUUUAUGCAUUUUAAUUUCAUUAUUUGAUCUUAAAUAAGUUUUACUGAAUACAGCUUUCCUAGCAUGACUUGAUAGAUUUAAAUCUUUCUGUUUAUUUAUUUGCUGCCUAAUGGAACAUUUAAAAAGGGAUUUGGAAAGUCAGAACUGAGGUAUUAUCAGAUUAAAUGGCAGCAGGAUUUAAGGAAUAGUUUUAUAAGUAGUUUUAUAAA
Prunus avium (sweet cherry) is the source of this 560-nucleotide non-coding RNA. Lineage: Eukaryota; Viridiplantae; Streptophyta; Magnoliopsida; Rosales; Rosaceae. The record is from RefSeq and is a predicted model, not a curated record.